GAUGAAGAACGUAGCGAAAUGCGAUACGUAAUGUGAAUUGCAAAUUCAGUGAAUCAUCGAGUCUUUGAACGCACAUUGCGCCCCCUGGUAUUCCGGGGGGCAUGCCUGUCCGAGCGUCAUUGCUGCCCUUCAAGCCCGGCUUGUGUGUUGGGUCGUCGUCCCCCCCGGGGGACGGGCCCGAAAGGCAGCGGCGGCACCGCGUCCGGUCCUCGAGCGUAUGGGGCUUUGUCACCCGCUCGAUUAGGGCCGGCCGGGCGCCAGCCGGCGUCUCCAACCUUCUAUUUUACCAGGUUGACCUCGGAUCAGGUAGGGAUACCCGCUGAACUUAAGCAUAUCAAUAAGCGGAGGA
Molecule: unclassified non-coding RNA, 349 nt
Filed under: soil metagenome
Description: partial contains 5.8S ribosomal RNA, internal transcribed spacer 2, and large subunit ribosomal RNA
Rfam family: 5.8S ribosomal RNA (bases 1-119)
Source: RNAcentral